Molecule: ribosomal RNA, 600 nt
Filed under: uncultured bacterium
Lineage: Bacteria
Description: bacterial SSU rRNA
Rfam family: Bacterial small subunit ribosomal RNA
Source: RNAcentral
UGCUGACGAGUGGCGAACGGGUGAGUAUACAUCGGAACGCUAGUAGUGGGGGAUAACUACUCGAAAGAGUAGCUAAUACCGCAUGAGAUCUACGGAUAAAAGCAGGGGACCUUUCGGGCCUUUGUGCUACUAAAGCGGUGAUGGCAGAUUAGGUAGUUGGUGGGGUAAGGCUUACAAGCCUGCGAUCUGUAGCUGGUCUGAGAGGACGACCAGCCACACUGGGACUGAGACACGGCCCAGACUCCUACGGGAGGCAGCAGUGGGGAAUUUUGGACAAUGGGCGAAAGCCUGAUCCAGCAAUGCCGCGUGCAGGAUGAAGGCCCUCGGGUUGUAAACUGCUUUUGUACGGAACGAAAAGCCUGGGGCUAAUAUCCCCGGGUCAUGACGGUACCGUAAGAAUAAGCACCGGCUAACUACGUGCCAGCAGCCGCGGUAAUACGUAGGUGCAAGCGUUAAUCGGAAUUACUGGGCGUAAAGCGUGCGCAGGCGGUUUUGUAAGACAGUGGUGAAAUCCCCGGGCUCAACCUGGGAACUGCCAUUGUGACUGCAAGGCUAAGUGCGGCAGAAGGGGAUGGAAUUCCGCGUGUACAGUGAAAUGCG